CAGCGAUUCGAACUCCGCCCACU
RNAcentral lists this microRNA (23 nucleotides) under Caenorhabditis elegans. RNAcentral's name for it is "cel-miR-1832a-5p". The record is from miRBase by way of RNAcentral. Lineage: Eukaryota; Metazoa; Nematoda; Chromadorea; Rhabditida; Rhabditidae.